UACGUAGGUGGCAAGCGUUGUCCGGAUUUACUGGGCGUAAAGAGCGCGCAGGCGGCUGGUCAAGUCCGAUGUGAAAUCUCCCGGCUUAACUGGGAAACUGCAUCGGAAACUGAUCGGCUUGAAGGUGGGAGAGGGUAGUGGAAUUCCCGGUGUAGUGGUGAAAUGCGUAGAUAUCGGGAGGAACACCGGUGGCGAAGGCGGCUACCUGGCCCAACAUUGACGCUGAGACCCGAAAGCAUGGGGAUCAAACAGG
Molecule: ribosomal RNA, 253 nt
Filed under: uncultured bacterium
Lineage: Bacteria
Description: partial 16S ribosomal RNA
Rfam family: Bacterial small subunit ribosomal RNA
Source: RNAcentral